GCCUGAGUGGCUCAGUCAGUUAAGCAUCUGACUUCAGCUCAGGUCAUGAUCUCACCUUUCAUGAGUUCGAGCCCCAUGUCAGGCU
This 85-nucleotide transfer RNA is filed under the name Felis catus (domestic cat). It matches the Rfam family "tRNA". Rfam says of the family: Transfer RNA (tRNA) molecules are approximately 80 nucleotides in length. The record is from Rfam by way of RNAcentral. RNAcentral also lists the same sequence under 4 other names. Lineage: Eukaryota; Metazoa; Chordata; Mammalia; Carnivora; Felidae.